Long non-coding RNA from Pipra filicauda (Wire-tailed manakin), 1749 nucleotides. RefSeq lists it as uncharacterized. The record is from RefSeq and is a predicted model, not a curated record. The transcript is spliced from 7 exons. NCBI's taxonomy places the organism in Eukaryota, Metazoa, Chordata, Aves, Passeriformes, Pipridae.
UCAGAGGGCCGGAGCCACCUGCCAAUUAGGUUUGAUGGUCUUCAGCUGUCCUUGUGAGUAAUCCCCUAGUACUACGAGGCUCAUCAAUUAAGGCUCGACCUUUUCCAGCUGCGGGUGCCAUCCGGCCUGCCUUUGGCAAAGAAGGAGCAUUCAGGUUGAGUCAGGGAGGUAACGAGGAGGUCCUGGGGUCUCCCUUACUUUCAGAAACACCACGUAACUUUUUUUCUCACUCACCCAGGUACAGCAGACGGUGACGGCAGCAGCCUCCAACUCGGGUUGGAGCCAGUGGCCCCAGAACCUCUCAGCUCAGGGGAGGCCGAGCGAGUCAGGGAUCGCACGACCCUGUGAGCCAGCCAGGCAUCCUUCCUUUGCAUCGAAGAUGGAUUCACAUCCCCGACUAUGGGAAAGAUAAGUGGAGGACAACCACCUGGAGAGGGGAUGAGAGCUGGGUCCAGUUUUAUGGUUAGGAGGGAGGGAUUUUCAAAUGAGCAGAGGGGAAAGGGUCUGCCCUAACAGGCCCUUGGCACACAUAGGAGGAGCAGUUUACUUUUCAUCACUGGAGUAGGAUGUGCAGGGCAGAGCCGUUCAGGUCUGUGUCAUGUCCUUUGUCCAGUCUGUGUUUCGUGUCUUACAAUUCAUAAUCACCAUGUCUUUGCUUUCUGCCCUCGAAGUUCUUAUCUGAGAUGUCAAGGCAUCAUUCCUAGGGUCUUGAACCUUUGCACUGCCCAGCCCAGUGCCCAUACCAUCCGUUCUUUGGCUCGCUAGCUUGGAUGUGCAUCAGAAUUGCAUCUGAGAAGUGUCAGGUCAGGUGUCUUUUACAGCCUCCUUACAGUUUGUAUCGGUGACCAUGCCGUGCAGUCAUCCCUUGUAACCGCCCAGGACUUGUGAGAAUCCAAGAAGAUUCUGAACAUAGCAUUGUCUCCCAUCCAUCUUAGCAAUUUUGUAGGCAGUUCUUGUCCCAGGCCAUUCUGUUAGAGUGUCUUUUCAGGCUCCUCAGAGCCUCCUCCGUUCAGUCUUACCGUAUCCUCCGUCUUCUCGUGCGGCAGCACAUCCAUUUUGGCGUCGUUCCUUUCUCAGAGUUCUCUCUCCUGGUUGCACCACAGCACUUGUCUGGAAAUGUGUCCUUGGAGUUUGUGUUGGGCCUGGAACUGCUCUGCCCUGCUGUGUAGAGUUGGGGGUAGGUGGAGUAGAAAGGAGACUUUCCAGUUACCCUGUGGAUAGGCUCAGCCACUCAGGGCAGCAGUUCUCCAGUCCUCCUGGAGGCAGCCCCUGCCUGCAGUGUGUGUGCAGUCACGAGAGCGGGCUUGUCCAGAGCCAAUGGGAGCGGUACAGCAGGACCUUAAAGUUAGGUCAGUGUUUGUUUGUGCAGGUUGUCUUUGGACCCCAGAGGGCUUGUCUAAGGAGAAAUGAGAAUUGCACAGCAGUUAAGGUCUCUCCAUCUAUAUGGCUGACUUUGGUAACUCAUUUCUUUGCAGCGUCAGAGGGACUGGAUGUAAAGCAGAGAAGAACAGAAGAGACUGGAGGAGCACAGUCAGAAGGAUGCAGAGCCCUCAGCCCAGCAGACGAUAGGCACCAGAGGGAAGGUGAGCCCGGUGAGGAAGGCAGUGCACAGACUUCUAACGUGCAGUCCAACGUGACAGGGACCCUGCCUGAGAUGUAGGCAGCCUCAGAUGGCCGAACACAACUCACAGUGAGGUGCCAUCCAGCUAACCUUUGGGAGCAGAUGAGCAUUGGAGGAGAUGACAGCAC